AGUCCUCUUUCAUUUUCUGGGCAUUUAAAGCCUCUUUACUGCUGUAGAUUGCAGCCGUCCCCUGCACCUUCCGAGCAAGGGAUGGCUCUCCUCCUCCACCCAACAAGCGCUUUUCUCUCUCCCCAUCUCAGGUGGAUCUGUAAAUAGCUUUUGGGCUGUGCUUCUUUUUGUUUCUCUUGCAGGUUCAGUGCCAAAUGGUGAGAGAGUCUUCCUCAGUAAUAUGCGAUGUUGUUAAGUCUGGCCAAAGAACUUUAAGUCGACUUGGUUCUUCCUCUAGUUUAGCCCGUGAAAGGAUGCUCUGAUGCUGUAAGGGCUAGCAUCUCAAGAGUCGCAUAGUCAGCUCACUCAUAUGGCCACCCAACCCUUGAAGUUGAAGACGACAUUCGAGCUCCGCCCGUCGAUUCUCCAUGCAUUUGUUUGUAAUGGGUUGAUUCUAUCUCUAGUAGGCCUUGCUUUGAUUUUUGGAAGGAGAUUUUUGGGAUGGUGCUGAGCUCCUUUUCCAUGCAAGAAUCCAACGAUCUCUCCUAGGCAUCAGUGGGGUGGCUGGUGCUAUAGGGGUUGGCUACCUCCUUUGCUUCUUUGUGUUCUUUUAGCUAGGGUUUUGAGUUUCCGAGCCUUUGGGCCGAAUAAUCCGUUAGCUAACUUUGUUGGGCCUCUUUUAACUGAAAACUAGUGAUG
RNAcentral lists this unclassified non-coding RNA (678 nucleotides) under Hevea brasiliensis (rubber tree). The record is from RNAcentral. Lineage: Eukaryota; Viridiplantae; Streptophyta; Magnoliopsida; Malpighiales; Euphorbiaceae.